AGAGUUUGAUCCUGGCUCAGAACGAACGCUGGCGGCAUGCCUAAUACAUGCAAGUCGAACGAGAUCUUCGGAUCUAGUGGCGCACGGGUGCGUAACGCGUGGGAAUCUGCCCUUGGGUUCGGAAUAACUUCGGGAAACUGAAGCUAAUACCGGAUGAUGACGAAAGUCCAAAGAUUUAUCGCCCAGGGAUGAGCCCGCGUAGGAUUAGCUAGUUGGUGGGGUAAAGGCCUACCAAGGCGACGAUCCUUAGCUGGUCUGAGAGGAUGAUCAGCCACACUGGGACUGAGACACGGCCCAGACUCCUACGGGAGGCAGCAGUAGGGAAUAUUGGACAAUGGGGGCAACCCUGAUCCAGCAAUGCCGCGUGAGUGAUGAAGGCCUUAGGGUUGUAAAGCUCUUUUACCCGGGAUGAUAAUGACAGUACCGGGAGAAUAAGCUCCGGCUAACUCCGUGCCAGCAGCCGCGGUAAUACGGAGGGAGCUAGCGUUGUUCGGAAUUACUGGGCGUAAAGCGCACGUAGGCGGCGAUUUAAGUCAGAGGUGAAAGCCCGGGGCUCAACCCCGGAACUGCCUUUGAGACUGGAUUGCUAGAGUGCAGGAGAGGGCAAUGGAAUUCCAUGUGUAGCGGUAAAAUGCGUAGAUAUAUGGAGGAACACCAGUGGCGAAGGCGGUUGCCUGGCCUGUAACUGACGCUGAAGCACGAAAGCGUGGGGAGCAAAUAGGAUUAGAUACCCUAGUAGUCCACGCCGUAAACGAUGAAUACUAAGUGUUGGAGAAAUUCAGUGCUGCAGUUAACGCAAUAAGUAUUCCGCCUGGGGAGUAUGCACGCAAGUGUGAAACUCAAAGGAAUUGACGGGACCCCGCACAAGCGGUGGAUUAUGUUGUUUAAUUCGACGCAACGCGAAGAACCUUACCAGGCCUUGACAUACUCAGCAAAACCCUAGAGAUAGGGUGGAGGUUAUCUGGGAUACAGGUGGUGCAUGGUUGUCGUCAGCUCGUGUCGUGAGAUGUUGGGUUAAGUCCCGCAACGAGCGCAACCCUUGUCUUUAGUUACCAUCAUUCAGUUGGGGACUCUAGAGAGACUGCCGGUGAUAAACCGGAGGAAGGUGGGGAUGACGUCAAAUCAUCAUGCCCCUUAUGGCCUGGGCUACAAACGUAAUACAAUGGCGUAUACAAAGGGAUGCGAAAGGGUGACCUGGAGCAAAACUCACAAAGUACGUCUCAGUUCAGAUUGGAGUCUGCAACUCGACUCCAUGAAGGCGGAAUCGCUAGUAAUCGCGGAUCAGCAUGCCGCGGUGAAUACGAUCUCGAACCUUCCACACACCGCCCCUCAAA
This 1334-nucleotide ribosomal RNA is filed under the name uncultured bacterium. RNAcentral's name for it is "partial 16S ribosomal RNA". It matches the Rfam family "Bacterial small subunit ribosomal RNA". The record is from RNAcentral.